This 71-nucleotide transfer RNA is filed under the name Dipodomys ordii (Ord's kangaroo rat). It matches the Rfam family "tRNA". Rfam says of the family: Transfer RNA (tRNA) molecules are approximately 80 nucleotides in length. Lineage: Eukaryota; Metazoa; Chordata; Mammalia; Rodentia; Heteromyidae. The record is from Rfam by way of RNAcentral.
GGGACUGUGGCUUAGUGGUAGAGCGCUUGCCUAGCAUGCAUGGAGCCCCGGGUUCAGAUUACUCAGUGCCA